GUGCGGCCGGUACCGUCAGUGACGGAAGGACUCUGUGGCCCUGCGGCAGCGAUGGCUCGGCGUGUCGUGAAAGGCCUGCUGGUGCUGGAGGCGGCGGGGCUGCUCGGCGCUCUCCUGCUCUACCGCGCCAUGGACCGCAGCCAAGACUUCAGAUACACAAUGCAGAAGAAGUUCCCAUCAAUUCUGGAAGUGUAUUACAAAUCCAAUGAGUGGUCUGGAAUUCACGGCAUAAGGGAGAAUGACCAAAUGGCAUGGUUAAGCAGCAAGAACUGAAGUAAGAAAGCCCUUUGUGCCUGAACUGUUUCUUCCUUUUUAUGAUGCUUUUCACAUCCCGGUCAUGAAGCCAUUUGUCGCGCUCUAUUUCCCAUUGGAUCUGUUUAAUAUCUGUAAGAGGAAAGGUGACGAGGAGUGAACAGCUAUCUCUGAUAAUGAUGUAAAAUACAGAUGAAACAUGUAACAGUUAAAACUUGGCUGCUGUAUUUAUGAAUGUCAAUAAAGUGCAAGCUGCCUUUUUGUUUUUGACACCAGAGAAAGUUUUGGGGUUUUCAUUUCACAGAACAUACCCCACCUUCUCAGCACCUCAUAGUUUAAGACCACUCUUGCCAUUGCUUUGUAUUUUACUAAUGCUAGAUAUGCUUAUGUUAAGAGUACACAGUGUUUGAGUGCUGCUGUUCACAUUUUUCAGGUGACACCAGCAAGACUUGUAAAAGCUCUAGAGAGGACUGAUUAUUCACUCAGUAUAUGCACAUUUAAUUCAUUAGAAUUAUUUCUGGGGAACUACUUUUGCUUCACCGAUACUGCAAGGAAAUAACCCAGUAGGUAUAUAAAUGGCCAUGUCAUAUGCCUUCCUUUUACAGGAAUCCAGGACACUUUAUCAGAGCAAAAUUCACACAAAUGCUUGACAGACAGCAUGCUGCCCAUCCUUAUUUACAGUGUGAAAGGGCCACAUGAUAGCCUCUUCAUCUUUUCUGAAGCCUUGCUCUCUCCAGUAGACACAGUUAACAUUAGCACUGGGCUAGUAACUGACUGUCAUGUCUUAUUGACAGUGACCUACUGUCCCUAUGUGUGACUUCUGACCACAUGUGAAUUUCAGUUAGAGAAGGUACAUCUUAUUAACUACAGAACCAGAAGAGAGAGAAGUGAAACAGCAUUACACCUUUCUGCUGUUUGUACCAUGUACUUACUUGCAUUAUCUCUGUUGGCCAUGGCGUUCAUUCCAAUAUUAUCAAACUUAGACCCAACAUUUUCAUCCAGCAGAGAGCCAAACUUUAAAGAGAGAAAUUUUAGUAUUUUAUUACAAAGAACCAGGUAAAAUGCUUGAUCACUUUUUGCUAAGUACUGAUCAAACUUACCUCCUCUGCAGAUGCCAGUAUCUUGGCAUCUUGGAGUUUUCUCUUCUUUCCUCGAUUGGAUCCUUCAAACAAAAAGCAUUAUUCUUAUAAGACAGAAUUUCAGCUUCAGAAAGACACUAAACCAAAGUGUUACCAUGUGGUUGGGUUUUGGUGAGGUUUUUAACAUGUUUUUGAGACCAUCUAAAAUAGCUGUUAGAAAUGUUUAUUCUUCACCUCCCCCCCACCCCCCCCAAAAAAUGGAACGAGCACUUUCCAACCAAGAACUAAUAGCACAAAUCAGACGUUAGGAACAGAUGCACAAACUGCGAGUACAACUCCAAUUUUCCUUUGAAAGUUCCUUCUUUGAGUCCCAGUUCCUGCUUUGAGUCCCAACAUCAGAUUGUUACUCUGAAUUCGGCAAUGGUGGUUGAAGGACAACCUCCUUUUAAUUCAUGGUUUAUUCAUCCAAAGGCAUAGAUAAUCUGAUGUACCAAAACCCAAAGCUCUUCAGACUGUAUUUGUAUUAAGCUUUCUCACAUGGAAAUCAUGGCAGUGUUCCCUUACCUUCUAGUGAUCCCGCAAAAUUCGUAUCUUUCUUUCUCUUGCCCUUUUUAUUGACAGACUUCAAUUGUUUGUUAUUGUUUGCAUCUGACAGAAAAGAAAAAGAUACAUCAAAUCUUCAUUCUCACAUCAUGUACGUAUAUUUAAAGCACGGCAGAUACUAAAAUUUCAUUUUAGGCAUUUUUUGGUUUAUAACGGUCCAAGUCAUUACUUUAAAAAAGUUUAAAACACAGCACAAACAACCAAAUCUGGGAUUUCUUCAACCCAGACAAUUAAAAAUUGGUCAGUGGUGCACCAUUCUUUAUGCUUUUUUCCACAGCACCAAAAAGGAAUGAAAUACGAAUCUAAGAUACAUAAAAUAUGAAGGCUAAAAGCAGGUGUUACAUACACCUCAAAUGUCUGCUUGAUGCCAAAUUCCCACUCACACUUGGGAGACUGCUCCAGGCAAUGUGUCUCUCAAGACUUCAUUGUCCAGAGAAGGUCUUGUCACUUCUCUACUUAAAAGCCAAACCUCCCACUUAGGUAACUGAAUCUGAAUUUAUAUAUGUAAUUACAUAUUAGAUAACCUAGUUUUAAAGCUCUUUUUUUUCUUUUUUUU
This is a long non-coding RNA of Pezoporus flaviventris, 2490 nucleotides long. RefSeq lists it as uncharacterized. NCBI's taxonomy places the organism in Eukaryota, Metazoa, Chordata, Aves, Psittaciformes, Psittacidae. The transcript has 5 exons. The record is from RefSeq and is a predicted model, not a curated record.